CAAAAAGCCAAAAUAAAUGGGUGCGGAGAAGCAUUCAGAAGUAUAAUGAUAAAGGAGAUACUGAGGAAUCUAGUUCCGUUAUUAUCGAGAAAAAGAGCAAGAGGCAGGGAGUCAUCUCAUACUUCUUGAUGAAGGCGACACAAAGCAAGUGGUGGAAGAAGCUUUCAGAA
Molecule: non-coding RNA, 170 nt
Organism: Punica granatum (pomegranate)
Lineage: Eukaryota; Viridiplantae; Streptophyta; Magnoliopsida; Myrtales; Lythraceae
Source: RefSeq, a predicted model, not a curated record